Molecule: ribosomal RNA, 253 nt
Filed under: uncultured bacterium
Lineage: Bacteria
Description: partial 16S ribosomal RNA
Rfam family: Bacterial small subunit ribosomal RNA
Source: RNAcentral
UACGUAGGGUGCAAGCGUUGUCCGGAUUUAUUGGGUUUAAAGGGUGCGUAGGUGGCUUGUUAAGUCCGGGGUGAAAGCCCACAGCUCAACUGUGGAACUGCCCUGGAUACUGGCGAGCUUGAGUCCAGACGAGGUUGGCGGAAUGGAAGCUGUAGCGGUGAAAUGCAUAGAUAGCUUCCAGAACCCCGAUUGCGUAGGCAGCUGACUAGGCUGGUACUGACACUGAGGCACGAAAGCGUGGGGAGCGAACAGG